This 461-nucleotide ribosomal RNA is filed under the name uncultured bacterium. Its description in RNAcentral is "partial 16S ribosomal RNA". It matches the Rfam family "Bacterial small subunit ribosomal RNA", at positions 338 to 795 of the family's 1533-position model. The record is from RNAcentral.
CCUACGGGGGGCAGCAGUGAGGAAUAUUGGUCAAUGGGCGAGAGCCUGAACCAGCCAAGUCGCGUGAAGGAUGACGGCCCUACGGGUUGUAAACUUCUUUUGUCAGGGAGCAAUUGGGUCCACGCGUGGGCUUAGCGAGAGUACCUGAAGAAAAAGCAUCGGCUAACUCCGUGCCAGCAGCCGCGGUAAUACGGAGGAUGCGAGCGUUAUCCGGAUUUAUUGGGUGUAAAGCGCUCGUAGGCGGUAUGUCAAGUCAAGGGUGAAAUCCCCGCGCUCAACGUGGGAACUGCCUUUGAAACUGGCAAACUGGAGUGUGUGAGAGGAUAGUGGAAUUCCUAGUGUAGCGGUGAAAUGCGUAGAUAUUAGGAGGAACACCAGUGGCGAAGGCGGCUUACUGGACUGUAACUGACGUUGAGGCUCGAAAGCGUGGGGAGCAAACAGGAUUAGAUACCCUUGUAGUC